UUCUAGAGAUUUGAAUCAAAUUUGAUUUGAUUCAAUAUGGAAAGAGAUUUGGCUAAUUAUGGAAAGUGUUUUAGGUUUAUCUCCUUUGUUUGAAAGAGUCCCUCUUCACAAGGACUCUUCCCUCCUCUCAUGCGCCAACUUCCUCCAUCCUUAUCCCUUCUUUUUGUUGCCCCUUUUGAGGUUAUUUUCAUGCUCUCCACN
RNAcentral lists this long non-coding RNA (201 nucleotides) under Elaeis guineensis (African oil palm). Its description in RNAcentral is "long non-coding RNA (EGUI_LNC074649)". Lineage: Eukaryota; Viridiplantae; Streptophyta; Magnoliopsida; Arecales; Arecaceae. The record is from RNAcentral.